UACAGGGGGGGCAAGCGUUGUUCGGAAUUACUGGGCGUAAAGGGCUUGUAGGUGGCCAACUAAGUCCGACGUGAAAUCCCUAGGCUUAACCUAGGAACUGCGUCGGAUACUGGAUGGCUUGAAUCCGGGAGAGGGAUGCGGAAUUCCAGGUGUAGCGGUGAAAUGCGUAGAUAUCUGGAGGAACACCGGUGGCGAAGGCGGCAUCCUGGACCGACACUGACGCUGAGGAGCGAAAGCCAGGGGAGCAAACGGG
This 253-nucleotide ribosomal RNA is filed under the name uncultured bacterium. Its description in RNAcentral is "partial 16S ribosomal RNA". It matches the Rfam family "Bacterial small subunit ribosomal RNA", at positions 524 to 776 of the family's 1533-position model. The record is from RNAcentral.